AAAGUCAAAUGUGGUUUUCACC
This 22-nucleotide small nuclear RNA is filed under the name Arabidopsis thaliana (thale cress). Its description in RNAcentral is "snRNA_09401". The record is from RNAcentral. Lineage: Eukaryota; Viridiplantae; Streptophyta; Magnoliopsida; Brassicales; Brassicaceae.